Xenia sp. Carnegie-2017 is the source of this 697-nucleotide long non-coding RNA. RefSeq lists it as uncharacterized. The transcript has 2 exons. The record is from RefSeq and is a predicted model, not a curated record. NCBI's taxonomy places the organism in Eukaryota, Metazoa, Cnidaria, Anthozoa, Malacalcyonacea, Xeniidae.
UAGGUUUGAAAUGCGCAAUUUCAUCAACAGGAGAAAUGUGCGAGCUUUAUUGAAGAAGUACAGUGAUUCAAAGCUAAGUUGGGACGAAUUUCAAGAAUUAAAAUCUGAAAUAUCUUCAAAGGGGCUUAGGACUCUACUUGAAUGGUUAGAGAAACAAGGAUUUAUCACUAGUUGUCCAAACUCGUGCAGAAGGUUAUUGGCAGCAUUGGCUUCUGACAAACCAGUAUGCGCAAUUGUGCCCCCCAAAGAAGAAGUUUUGGACCUCUUGAUAAGGAUGUCUGAUGGAGCCAAUCCAAAAGACAAUCCUUCGACUGAUUUAAAACUUCUUCAUGAAGAAGUGCCCUUACUGUUUAACGUCAUUGAGACUAGCGAAGAAAUUCCAAUUACUAUUCAACCGCUGCUAAAGGAAUUGGUACAAAAGGCGAUAAGUCCGUUCGAGGUCAAGGACGGUCAGUGGCGUUUGCCACACAACUUACCUGCGGUGUCUCAAAAUUCGUCCCAUGGAUAUCUACCUUCUCUGCCAGAACUGGUUCAACGAGGGAAUUAUGUUCUUGACAAUAGGAAGACACAGCAGGGAGAUUGAAAAUAUCUUUUCACAAGAAAAAUGAUUUGUGUAGACGUGCUAGAAACAUUCACUUUGUCAACAUGUUAGAUACAUGAUACACUUCAUUCUUCAAGUAAAUUGUUAUGUACGUCA